Molecule: transfer RNA, 75 nt
Filed under: Candidatus Borkfalkia excrementavium
Lineage: Bacteria; Bacillati; Bacillota; Clostridia; Christensenellales; Christensenellaceae
Description: tRNA-Gly
Rfam family: tRNA
About the family: Transfer RNA (tRNA) molecules are approximately 80 nucleotides in length.
Source: RNAcentral
GCGAGAGUCGCCUAAUGGUAUGGCGCCAGCUUCCCAAGCUGGUUCCCGCGGGUUCGAUUCCCGUCUCUCGCUCCA